Molecule: ribosomal RNA, 240 nt
Filed under: Clavaria fuscata
Lineage: Eukaryota; Fungi; Basidiomycota; Agaricomycetes; Agaricales; Clavariaceae
Description: partial 28S ribosomal RNA
Rfam family: Eukaryotic large subunit ribosomal RNA
Source: RNAcentral
AGAGCUCAAAUUUAAAAUCGGGCAUCUGUCCGAGUUGUAAAUUAGAGAAGUGUUAUCUGCGCUGAACUGUGCAUAAGUCUCUUGGAAAAGGGCAUCAUAGAGGGUGACAAUCCCGUCUUUGGCACAGACUCUCAGGGCUUUGUGAUGCACUCUCAAUGAGUCGAGUUGUUUGGGAAUGCAGCUCUAAAUGGGUGGUAAAUUCCAUCUAAAGCUAAAUAUUGGCGAGAAACCGAUAGCGCA